CGGGGUGCACCAGGCGCGAAAACUUUACAAUGCGGGAAACCGUGAUAAGGGAACUCUGAGUGCCCGUAAAAUCGGGCUGUCCAUCAGUUUAAAUAACUGGUGAAGAAAGGGCCGGGCAAGACCGGUGCCAGCCGCCGCGGUAAUACCGGCGGCUCGAGUGGUGGCCACUAUUACUGGGCUUAAAGCGUUCGUAGCUGGUUUGUUAAGUCUCUGGGGAAAUCUUCCGGCUUAACCGGAAGGCGUCUCAGGGAUACUGGCAGACUAGGGACCGGGAGAGGUGAGGGGUACUUCAGGGGUAGGAGUGAAAUCCUGUAAUCCUUGAGGGACCACCUGUGGCGAAGGCGCCUCACCAGAACGGCUCCGACAGUGAGGGACGAAAGCUGGGGGAGCAAACCGGAUUAGAUACCCGGGUAGUCCCAGCUGUAAACGAUGCGCGUUAGGUGUAUCGGUGACCACGAGUCACCGAGGUGCCGAAGAGAAAUCGUGAAACGUGCCGCCUGGGAAGUACGGUCGCAAGGCUGAAACUUAAAGGAAUUGGCGGGGGAGCACAAGGGCGAAUCGCG
This 563-nucleotide ribosomal RNA is filed under the name uncultured archaeon. RNAcentral describes it as "bacterial SSU rRNA". It matches the Rfam family "Archaeal small subunit ribosomal RNA", at positions 326 to 897 of the family's 1478-position model. The record is from RNAcentral.